RNAcentral lists this ribosomal RNA (1072 nucleotides) under uncultured bacterium. RNAcentral describes it as "bacterial SSU rRNA". It matches the Rfam family "Bacterial small subunit ribosomal RNA", at positions 73 to 1162 of the family's 1533-position model. The record is from RNAcentral.
CCGAAGCUUGCUUCGGUACUCGAGUGGCGAACGGGUGAGUAACACGUGGGUGAUCUGCCCUGCACUUUGGGAUAAGCCUGGGAAACUGGGUCUAAUACCAGAUAGGACCACGUCUUGGAUGGUGUGGUGGAAAGUUUUUUCGGUGUGGGAUGAGCUCGCGGCCUAUCAGCUUGUUGGUGGGGUAAUGGCCUACCAAGGCGUCGACGGGUAGCCGGCCUGAGAGGGUGUACGGCCACAUUGGGACUGAGAUACGGCCCAGACUCCUACGGGAGGCAGCAGUGGGGAAUAUUGCACAAUGGGCGCAAGCCUGAUGCAGCGACGCCGCGUGGGGGAUGACGGCCUUCGGGUUGUAAACUCCUUUCGCCAGGGACGAAGCGUAAGUGACGGUACCUGGAUAAGAAGCACCGGCUAACUACGUGCCAGCAGCCGCGGUAAUACGUAGGGUGCGAGCGUUGUCCGGAAUUACUGGGCGUAAAGAGCUCGUAGGUGGUUUGUCGCGUCGUUUGAGUAAUACCGCAGCUUAACUGCGGGGUUGCAGGCGAUACGGGCAUAACUUGAGUGCUGUAGGGGAGACUGGAAUUCCUGGUGUAGCGGUGGAAUGCGCAGAUAUCAGGAGGAACACCGAUGGCGAAGGCAGGUCUCUGGGCAGUAACUGACGCUGAGGAGCGAAAGCAUGGGUAGCGAACAGGAUUAGAUACCCUGGUAGUCCAUGCCGUAAACGGUGGGCGCUAGGUGUGAGUCCCUUCCACGGGGUUCGUGCCGUAGCUAACGCAUUAAGCGCCCCGCCUGGGGAGUACGGCCGCAAGGCUAAAACUCAAAGGAAUUGACGGGGGCCCGCACAGGCGGCGGAGCAUGUGGAUUAAUUCGAUGCAACGCGAAGAACCUUACCUGGGCUUGGCAUGCACCGGAUCGCUGCAGAGAUGUAGUUUCCCUUGUGGCUGGUGUACAGGUGGUGCAUGGUUGUCGUCAGCUCGUGUCGUGAGAUGUUGGGUUAAGUCCCGCAACGAGCGCAACCCUUGUCUUAUGUUGCCAGCAUUUGGUUGGGGACUCAUGAGAGACUGCCGGGGUUAAC